Heterocephalus glaber (naked mole-rat) is the source of this 340-nucleotide long non-coding RNA. The record is from Ensembl. NCBI's taxonomy places the organism in Eukaryota, Metazoa, Chordata, Mammalia, Rodentia, Bathyergidae.
UUUAGUGAUAAAAGUGGGUAGGAAAGCAUAGGGCGAGCGUAUGCCGAUUGCUAUUCUUGAUGGUAUUCUGUGGAUCAUCUGGGAGUGAAGAACAGGCUAUUGGCGUGUAUUUGGAGAUAGUGGGACGAGAGCUCUAUCCUUACAUCGCAUGUCCCUUGACAGGAAGAAUAGACAGUGGAACAACGCCUCAGACAGAGCCGUGGGAGCUGCAGUAUCAGCGUCUGCUGCAUCUUACCAUCGCAUCAACAUCACAGAUCACUGAUCUGCAUAUUCUGAAUUUGUCAACUCAGAGAUUCUCUGACCUGGUUUAUGGUUAGUGUGAGGCACAAGAGAAAUUAAA